This is a non-coding RNA of Pelobates cultripes (western spadefoot toad), 360 nucleotides long. Lineage: Eukaryota; Metazoa; Chordata; Amphibia; Anura; Pelobatidae. The record is from the annotation of a GenBank genome assembly.
GUGCAACCCUGGAUGGUCCAGAUGGAUGGAGAAGUGGAUGGUUGGUGGACGGCCACCCUGUUUCAACAAGGCUGUGACGUCAGCAAGGCGGUGAAGUCUUGUUUUGGGCCGGAAUCAUGGGAAGAGCUGGUCGGCCUCUUUAGGGUCCCUGAAGGUGUAAAAAUUACCUCUGCAAAGUAUGUGGAGUUUCUGACCAUUUUCUUCCCUGAUACAGAAGGAAGAACUAUGGUUUUCGUAAUAAAAUCAUCUUCGUGCAUGACAAUGCACCAUCUCAUGCUGCAAAGAAUACCACUGCAUCAAUAGCUGCUAUGGGGAUAAAAGGAGAGAAAGUCAUUGUGUGGCCUCCAUCCUCCCCUGACC